RNAcentral lists this ribosomal RNA (492 nucleotides) under uncultured bacterium. Its description in RNAcentral is "partial 16S ribosomal RNA". It matches the Rfam family "Bacterial small subunit ribosomal RNA", at positions 29 to 507 of the family's 1533-position model. The record is from RNAcentral.
AGUGAACGCUGGCGGUAGGCCUAACACAUGCAAGUCGAACGGCAGCACAGUAAUAGCUUGCUCUUACGGGUGGCGAGUGGCGGACGGGUGAGGAAUACAUCGGAAUCUACUUUUUCGUGGGGGAUAACGUAGGGAAACUUACGCUAAUACCGCAUACGACCUACGGGUGAAAGCAGGGGAUCUUCGGACCUUGCGCGAUUGAAUGAGCCGAUGUCGGAUUAGCUUGUUGGCGGGGUAAAGGCCCACCAAGUCGACGAUCCGUAGCUGGUCUGAGAGGAUGAUCAGCCACACUGGAACUGAGACAGGGACCAGACUCCUAAGGGAGGAAGCAGAGGGGAAUAUUGGACAAUGGGCGCAAGCAUGAUCCAGCAAUACCGCGUGAGUGAAGAAGGACUGCGGGUUGUAAAGCCCUUUUGUUGGGAAAGAAAAGCAGCAGGUUAAGACCCCGCUGUUCUGACGGUACCCAAAGAAUAAGCACCGGCUAACUUCGUG